GGAUGAACGCUGGCGGCGUGCCUAAUACAUGCAAGUCGAGCGAAUGGAUUAAGAGCUUGCUCUUAUGAAGUUAGCGGCGGACGGGUGAGUAACACGUGGGUAACCUGCCCAUAAGACUGGGAUAACUCCGGGAAACCGGGGCUAAUACCGGAUAACAUUUUGCACCGCAUGGUGCGAAAUUCAAAGGCGGCUUCGGCUGUCACUUAUGGAUGGACCCGCGUCGCAUUAGCUAGUUGGUGAGGUAACGGCUCACCAAGGCAACGAUGCGUAGCCGACCUGAGAGGGUGAUCGGCCACACUGGGACUGAGACACGGCCCAGACUCCUACGGGAGGCAGCAGUAGGGAAUCUUCCGCAAUGGACGAAAGUCUGACGGAGCAACGCCGCGUGAGUGAUGAAGGCUUUCGGGUCGUAAAACUCUGUUGUUAGG
Molecule: ribosomal RNA, 428 nt
Filed under: soil bacterium 7V-14
Lineage: Bacteria
Description: bacterial SSU rRNA
Rfam family: Bacterial small subunit ribosomal RNA
Source: RNAcentral